This 303-nucleotide signal recognition particle RNA is filed under the name Neogobius melanostomus (round goby). RNAcentral describes it as "Metazoan signal recognition particle RNA (ENSNMLG00000003720.1)". It matches the Rfam family "Metazoan signal recognition particle RNA". From Rfam's summary of the family: The signal recognition particle (SRP) is a universally conserved ribonucleoprotein. Lineage: Eukaryota; Metazoa; Chordata; Actinopteri; Gobiiformes; Gobiidae. The record is from Rfam by way of RNAcentral.
GCCGGGUGCUGUGGCGCGUGCCUGUAAUCCAAGUUACCGGGAGGUUGAGACUGGUGGGAUCGUUUGAGUUCAGAUCUCUUGAGGCUACAGUGGACUAUGUCGUGGAUCGGGUGUCCCAAUAAGUUCUGGUAUCGAUAUGGUGCACCUGGAGCCGGACCAACCAGGUCGUCUAAGGAGGGGUGCUCCGGCCCAGGUUCGGAAAUGGAGAGGCCAAAGCCCCCGUGUCGCCUCAGUAGUGGGAUCGCGCCUGUGAAUAGAGCGCUGUAGUGAAGCCUGAGUAAUAACAGCGGGACCCAGUCUUUU